ACGAACGCUGGCGGCGUGCUUAACCCCUGCCAGUCGAACGGAAAGGCCCUGCUUUUGUGGGGUGCUCGAGUGGCGAACGGGUGAGUAACACGUGAGUAACCUGCCCUUGACUUUGGGAUAACUUCAGGAAACUGGGGCUAAUACCGGAUAGGAGCUCCUGCUGCAUGGUGGGGGUUGGAAAGUUUCGGCGGUUGGGGAUGGACUCGCGGCUUAUCAGCUUGUUGGUGGGGUAGUGGCUUACCAAGGCUUUGACGGGUAGCCGGCCUGAGAGGGUGACCGGCCACAUUGGGACGGAGAUACGGCCCAGACUCCUACGGGAGGCAGCAGUGGGGAAUAUUGCACAAUGGGCGGAAGCCUGAUGCAGCAACGCCGCGUGCGGGAUGACGGCCUUCGGGUGGUAAACCGCUUUCGCCUGUGACGAAGCGUGAGUGACGGUAAUGGGGAAAGAAGCACCGGCUAACUACGU
This 466-nucleotide ribosomal RNA is filed under the name uncultured bacterium. RNAcentral describes it as "partial 16S ribosomal RNA". It matches the Rfam family "Bacterial small subunit ribosomal RNA", at positions 29 to 506 of the family's 1533-position model. The record is from RNAcentral.